CCUACGGGAGGCAGCAGUGAGGAAUAUUGGACAAUGGGCGCAAGCCUGAUCCAGCCAUGCCGCGUGCAGGAUGACGGUCCUAUGGAUUGUAAACUGCUUUUGCACAGGAAGGAACAACUCUACGUGUAGAGUCUUGACGGUACUGUGAGAAUAAGGAUCGGCUAACUCCGUGCCAGCAGCCGCGGUAAUACGGAGGAUCCAAGCGUUAUCCGGAAUCAUUGGGUUUAAAGGGUCCGUAGGCGGUUUAGUAAGUCAGUGGUGAAAGCCCAUCGCUCAACGGUGGAACGGCCAUUGAUACUGCUAGACUUGAAUUAUUAGGAAGUAACUAGAAUAUGUAGUGUAGCGGUGAAAUGCUUAGAGAUUACAUGGAAUACCAAUUGCGAAGGCAGGUUACUACUAAUGGAUUGACGCUGAUGGACGAAAGCGUGGGUAGCGAACAGGAUUAGAUACCCUGGUAGUCCACGCCGUAAACGAUGGAUACUAGCUGUUGGGCGCAAGUUCAGUGGCUAAGCGAAAGUGAUAAGUAUCCCACCUGGGGAGUACGUUCGCAAGAUGAAACUCAAAGAUAGUACGCGNGAGAGAGNGACGACGGACGACGAGGAGGGAGGAG
RNAcentral lists this ribosomal RNA (610 nucleotides) under uncultured bacterium. RNAcentral's name for it is "bacterial SSU rRNA". It matches the Rfam family "Bacterial small subunit ribosomal RNA", at positions 338 to 953 of the family's 1533-position model. The record is from RNAcentral.